CCGAGUUUACAAACUCCCAAACCCAUGUGAACAUACCUACUGUUGCUUCGGCCGGGGAUUGCCCCGGGCGCCUCGUGUGCCCCGGAUCAGGCGCCCCGCCUAGGAAACUUAACUCUUGUUUUAUUUUGGAAUCUUCUGAGUAGUUUUUACAAAUAAAUAA
This 160-nucleotide unclassified non-coding RNA is filed under the name soil metagenome. RNAcentral describes it as "partial internal transcribed spacer 1". The record is from RNAcentral.